UCUCCGUUGGUGAACCAGCGGAGGGAUCAUUGCUGGAACAAACGCCCUCACGGGUGCUACCCAGAAACCCUUUGUGAACUUAUACCAUAAACUGUUGCCUCGGCAUUGGCUGGGCUCUUUCUGAGCCCCCUUUUGUUUUACAGAAGGAGCAGGCCGGCCGGUGGCCCUAUAAACUCUUUGUUUUUGUAUUAUCUUCUGAGUAAAACAACUAUAAAUGAAUCAAAACUUUCAACAACGGAUCUCUUGGUUCUGGCAUCGAUGAAGAACGCAGC
Molecule: unclassified non-coding RNA, 272 nt
Filed under: uncultured fungus
Lineage: Eukaryota; Fungi
Description: sequence contains ITS1, 5.8S rRNA gene
Rfam family: 5.8S ribosomal RNA (bases 224-272)
Source: RNAcentral